Strigops habroptila (Kakapo) is the source of this 1956-nucleotide long non-coding RNA. RefSeq lists it as uncharacterized. Lineage: Eukaryota; Metazoa; Chordata; Aves; Psittaciformes; Psittacidae. The record is from RefSeq and is a predicted model, not a curated record. The transcript is spliced from 3 exons.
UGAGCAAAGAAUGAUCAUGGGCAUUGGACUGCUUCAGGCAUAGGAAAGGCUGAAGGUGACUGACUGCUUUAUGCAAUGCAUGACUACAAAUCCUGAGCUGGUUGUUUGCCACUUUUCUACUGAGAUAAACAAAACAUGCCAUUACUCAGUGCAUGUAAUUUUCCACAAUGCCAUGAACUCUGCAGGUGACAGCCUGGGCAAGGGAACAGAGCCAGUUCUCUGCACACAAGCUGAUUGGAUUUCAACAGACAGUAGUGAUAGAUGUGGAUAUUUUUCAAAGCUAUCUGUGGACUGGAGGAUUUGAAAUGUUUCUUACCUGAGGCUACCUGCCAAUAACUACUAUUCUUUGCAGCUGCAAACACCUUCAAAAUGAAAGCCAACUUCCAACCGAGCCUGAUGUUCUAACUCCAGAUUUAAGAUUGGAGUAGGGGAAACAGCUAUACAAUUGCCUUGUUCAUCUUGCUGCCGGUCUGAAUGGCUUUAUAAACCUUGGAGAUCAACCCCGACAUAAAAGAAUCUAGUUCAGCUUUAACAUAAGCUCAGCUCAGGGCUCCAAGAAUCCCAAGUCCUCUACGGUCGACGGUGGAUGUACUCCAAGCAUGAGAAUAUGUGACCACACCUACAAAGCACAAGGUGAAGGGCACUGGACCACCUUUUCCAGCAAGGAUGCAACAAGGACAGCAGAGCACAGAGAUGGAGCCAUACACCCUGGAGACCGCAGCGCCUUCCAGAUCAACCUAUACAUAGCAGCAUGGAGGUGGGAGAUCAAAAUAACUCUCUGCCCACUCUGACCACUGCUGCCAUCAUUCACAGUGCAUUGGAUGAUCCUGUCCCAGCAAUGGGGGUGAGUGGGGAGUUCAGGGCACAGAUGAUUAAAGGGGAUAGUCACCUACUGCAGACCAGCUGGAGCCCACAAGCAGCAGCUGAAGAGUCCUGGCUUAAAGCCAGCCACUGGGACAUCAGUGGGAGAUAAACUGGUUGAGUCUGGGCUGCAUGAGUCAUCCAAGGUUGGACAUCCAUGUCUUCAGAGGGAUCAAACAAGGAUAGCUGGGAGAAAAACUGAUAGUCUGUUGUGGUUUAGCCCAGCAGUCAGUGAAACACCACUCUGCCGUUUGCUCAAUCUCCUCCACUGGGACCGGGGAGAGAACUGUAUAAAAAGUAAAACUCACGGGUUGAGAUAAGACACUUUAAUGGAACAGAAAAGGAAGGGAAAAUAAUAGUAAUAAUAAUAAUAAUAGAAUAAACAAAGCAAGUGAUGAACAACGCAAUUGCUCACCACCCGCUGACUGAUGCCCAGCCAGUCCCUGAGCAGAACCCCCUAGGUGUUUUUAUUCAGUGUAACAUUAUAUGGCCUGGAGAAUCCCUUGGGUCAGUUGGGGUCUGCUGUCCUGGCUGUGUCCCCUCCCAGGUCCUUGUGCACCCCCAGCCUCCUCACUGGCAGGGUAGCAUGAGAAGCUGAAAAGUCCUUAACUUAGCAUAAACCCUGCUUGGCAACAACUAAACCAUCAGUGUUUUAUCAACAUUAUUCUCUUCCUAAAUCCAAAACACAAGCACUGUACCAACUACUAAGAAGAAAAUUAACUUAAUCCCAGCUGAAUCCAGGACCUUGCCAAAUCAGCAUCAUGCUCCCUUGCCUCAGUUUCUUCAAACUAGGGACAAUAAGACAUAUUCCUGUGAGGCCUUGUUCUGUGGAGUGGAAGUUCACAGAUGUGGUAAAAGUGUUUCUGGACACACUGUAAUUCUUUUGUCUGAGCCACAGGAAUUAAAAAGAAAGAAACGAGAGCAGUUCCUUUCUCGGAGCUGCUGUUCUGCUGUUCCUGCAUCCCCUUUGUUUUGAUUUCAGAUGUAUGGUUUGCUCUUUUUUUCAUUUUUCUUUUUUCCUGUGAUGCUAUUGGAGGCAGAAAGGAGAUUUCAUCAUCCCCCCGUGGCCGUCCUCUGUUGCAGCUCUGACCCCAC